UGCAGCCCAGUCAAAUUCGGUGCCGUCCCCCCGUGGCGGGCACCGGCCACCGGCUGCCACAGCACCUCCGUGGCCGCCUGCCCCGGGUCCCCUCCCGUGGGGCCCGGGCGGCGAAUCCCA
Molecule: small nucleolar RNA, 120 nt
Organism: Lonchura striata (white-rumped munia)
Lineage: Eukaryota; Metazoa; Chordata; Aves; Passeriformes; Estrildidae
Source: Ensembl